Molecule: ribosomal RNA, 468 nt
Filed under: uncultured bacterium
Lineage: Bacteria
Description: partial 16S ribosomal RNA
Rfam family: Bacterial small subunit ribosomal RNA
Source: RNAcentral
GACGAACGCUGGCGGCGUGCUUAACACAUGCAAGUCGAACGGACAGACCCUGCUUUUGUGGGGUGCUCGAGUGGGGAACGCGUGAGUAACACGUGAGUAUCCUGCCCUUGUCUUUGGGGUAACUUCUCGAAACUGGGGCUAUUACAGGAUAGGAUCUACUGCUGCAUGGUGGUGGUUGGAAAGUUUCGGCGGUUGGGGCUGGACUAGCGGCUUAUCAGCUUGUUGGUGGGGUAGUGGCUUACCAAGGCUUUGACGGGUAGCCGGCCUGGGAGGGUGACCAGCGACAUGGGGACUGCGAUACGGACCAGUCGCCUACGGGAGGCAGCAGUGGGAAAUAUGGCGCAACGGGCGGAAGUCAGUUGUGACAACGCCGGGAGCGGGAAGACGGCCUUCGGGUUAUAAACCGCUUUCGCAUGUGACGAGGCGGGAGUGACGGUAAUGGGUAAAGAAGCACCGGCUAACUACGUG